This 770-nucleotide ribosomal RNA is filed under the name uncultured fungus. RNAcentral describes it as "SSU rRNA". It matches the Rfam family "Eukaryotic small subunit ribosomal RNA", at positions 562 to 1342 of the family's 1831-position model. Lineage: Eukaryota; Fungi. The record is from RNAcentral.
UUGUGCCAGCAGCCGCGGUAAUUCCAGCUCCAAUAGCGUAUAUUAAAGUUGUUGUGGUUAAAAAGCUCGUAGUUGAACCUUGGGCCUGGCUGGCCGGUCCGCCUCACCGCGUGCACUGGUCCGGCCGGGCCUUUCCCUCUGUGGAACCCCAUACCCUUCACUGGGCGUGGCGGGGAAACAGGACAUUUACUUUGAAAAAAUUAGAGUGCUCCAGGCAGGCCUAUGCUCGAAUACAUUAGCAUGGAAUAAUAAAAUAGGACGCGCGGUUCUAUUUUGUUGGUUUAUAGGACCGCCGUAAUGAUUAAUAGGGACAGUCGGGGGCAUCAGUAUUCAGCUGUCAGAGGUGAAAUUCUUGGAUCAGUUGAAGACUAACUACUGCGAAAGCAUUUGCCAAGGAUGUUUUCAUUAAUCAGGAACGAAAGUUAGGGGAUCGAAGACGAUCAGAUGCCGUCGUAGUCUUAACCAUAAACUAUGCCGACUAGGGAUCGGACGGCGUUAUUCAUGACCCGUUCGGCACCUUACGAGAAAUCAAAGUGCUUGGGCUCCAGGGGGAGUAUGGUCGCAAGGCUGAAACUUAAAGAAAUUGACGGAAGGGCACCACCAGGGGUGGAGCCUGCGCUUAAUUUGACUCAACACGGGGAAACUCACCAGGUCCAGACACAAUAAGGAUUGACAGAUUGAGAGCUCUUUCUGAUUUUGUGGUGGUGGUGCAUGGCCCGUUCUUAGUGGUGGGUGACUUGUCUGCUUAAUUGCGAUAACGAACGAAGACU